Vicugna pacos (alpaca) is the source of this 2053-nucleotide non-coding RNA. The record is from RefSeq and is a predicted model, not a curated record. Lineage: Eukaryota; Metazoa; Chordata; Mammalia; Artiodactyla; Camelidae.
CCGGACGCCGCGCACUACCUCCCUCGCAUUCGCCUCCGCUGGUGCCGCGGACGCCCGCACUGUCCCCGCCCCGCCCGCGGGUGCCGUGGGGGUCACCGUGCCUUAAAGCGGCCGCGUCCACUUCAGAGCCAGCGGACUCAGCAGACGGAGAGACCUGGGCCCUGGGUCCUACCCUCCCAUACCUGUGGGGUGACAUUCCAGGCUUUGGUUGCCGGGAAGGUGAGGGGAAGGCAGACAGGCGUCCAACGUGGACCCAGGAGCUAGGCCCAAGGCCACUCAUCCAUCACAGCCGUGUACCCCCAUGGACCCCCACUGCUUCCUGAGGGAAGUAGCAGGCGCUGGAGACUUGAGCAGCAUCCUCAGACUUCUGAGCCUAGGAGUGGCCUGGCAGGUGGUGAUCCAAGGCCUGUUCCCCACCCAGUCCCUGGUAACUUGAUUCUCACUUGGGUCACCCAAGUCCAAAAGGCAGGCAGGGAGAAGGAAGAAGAGUGUCUUUUGCCUCUUACCCUGCCUCUUCCCUGGGGCUUGGGCCACUGGUGAGGCCUGAGGGAGGUUACCCACAGGGAUAGGAAGGGUCAGGAUGGGGAUUCCACAGCAAAGAAGGCAGAGGUCGGGCAUUACAGCCAGAGAACAGAAAGGCGACGACCAUUUUAUUUUUCCCUGGCACGCUGGUGGCUCCAGGCCUGACGCGUCCCUGAGGCUUUCUUAUGCUUCUGGUCCAGCACCUGGGCUAUAUAGUUCUCCUGCUGCUUCUGGAUCCGGAAGUCAGACAUGUGAUUCCUGCAACGGAGCCAGCUGGGCGUGGGCUGGGGACAGCCCAGGGUAGGGGCCAGAAGUCUGGCUCCCCAAUUCCUUCAACAACCCCCAGCCUGACCCGAACCCCUCACCUGAAGAUCUCUUUCUGCUGGCUGAUAACAUGCUGCAACUCUUUAAUCUCAUUCUCUUUGCCAUUAAGUAUAUCUUCUUGCUUUAUAAUGUGAGACUCAAUUUCUGUGGGGGAGAGAGGCAGGGAGGAGUGGUUCCCAUCCCAUGGGCUCUUUCCUGAGAUAAGGAAUUCCCUCAUGGGUCUUUUCAGAACUUGGCUCCCUCCACCCAGGGGUUCUCCAUGAAUGGUUGCUAAUACCUUAGUAAGAAUGAGUCUUUUAUGGAGUCCUGAUGGGGUGGGGCUGGGGAGUCACAACAUUUUGAUGAAUGUAUCUGUGACUUCACAACUCUAUUCUAGACCAGGUGACUCACAUGAGGGCGUGCAAAGGCCCUUGGAGAGAGAUGGGCAAAGGCAAGAGGAUGAACAGCUCCUGCCCUCAACUCCUGCAGCUCUUUAGAGCUAUCACCUCCUUGGAGAGACCCUUCCUAUUCUAAAAUUACAACCCUUCCCAAUACUUUCCAUCCCUUUUUCCUGCUGUAUUUUUCUUCUUAGCACUUAUCUCACAAACCACGGAUUUUACUCACUUGUCUUUUCCCCUACUAGGAUGUAAGGUCCACAAAGACAAGGAUUUUUGUUUUAUUCACUGCCUUAACCCUAAUGCCUAAAACAGUAUCUGGCACAUAGUAGAUGCACAAUACAUUUAUUUGUGGAAUGAAUAAACAGGAUGUCCCCUGGGGGGUUAUGUCUCAGAAACAUCACCUAAUUCAGUCAUCUCAAUCCAACCAGACCUCCUGAAGGUCAGCUGGAUGCCCAGUUCUGUGCCAGGGCUUCAGGAGAGAAUACAGAGGAAUAAGGAGGAGCCAGAGAGAUAGAAUGACAAAACUUAUCCCCAAAUUAAGUGCUCAUUAGAUGCAAGGAUGAUUUUUGUGUCUUGGGUUAAAAUCCAAUGAGGCUGUAGGGAUCUGGGAUUGCUUCAUUUACACAACUAUCCCUCGGGGAGCACUCGAAAAUUCUGAUCCUCGAAGGAAGAAAAUCCUGCUGCCUUUAAAGGUUGGACAAAGAUUAACUAGAACAUAAACUCUAAAAAUGCAGAAAUGUUGAAGCAUUUAAGGUUUCAGAAGAGAAGAUAUGGUAAAAAGUUAAGGCAUAGCGUGGAAAAGAGGAGAGACACUGGUGAAGGAAAAGAAU